AUGAAUAAACUUGAUAGGCUGUAGCUGGCUCUCUAGGGAGUACGUGCUCGUCUGUCAUCUUUACAUUUCCACCUGUGCACCUUUUGUAGAUCCUGGAGAAAAUAAUUUCUGAUGAAAAUUCAGGCGUGAAGAGUUGCAGGCUCUCUCUCUUAAGAGUCAGCUCUCUUUGAAAGUAUCCAGGUCUAUGUUUUCAUAUACACCAAAGAAUGUAAUAGAAUGUGAUCAAUGGGUCUUUGUACCUAUAAUAAAGUUUAUA
RNAcentral lists this unclassified non-coding RNA (256 nucleotides) under uncultured Crepidotus. RNAcentral's name for it is "sequence contains ITS1". Lineage: Eukaryota; Fungi; Basidiomycota; Agaricomycetes; Agaricales; Crepidotaceae. The record is from RNAcentral.